Molecule: ribosomal RNA, 1520 nt
Filed under: metagenome
Description: bacterial SSU rRNA
Rfam family: Bacterial small subunit ribosomal RNA
Source: RNAcentral
AGAGUUUGAUCCUGGCUCAGAAUGAACGCUGGCGGCGUGCUUAACACAUGCAAGUCGUACGAGAAAGCUUCUGCUUGCAGAGGCGAGUAAAGUGGCGCACGGGUGAGUAACGCGUGGGUAAUCUACCCUUGAAUUUGGGAUAACAUUGCGAAAGCGAUGCUAAUACCGGAUGAAAUUUUUAGAUCUUUGGAUUUAAGAAUGAAAGAUGGUCUCUACAUGUAAACUAUUGUUUGAGGAUGAGCCCGCGUACCAUUAGCUAGUUGGUGAGGUAAGAGCUUACCAAGGCAACGAUGGUUAGCUGGUCUGAGAGGAUGAUCAGCCACACUGGAACUGACACACGGUCCAGACUCCUACGGGAGGCAGCAGUGAGGAAUUUUGCGCAAUGGGGGAAACCCUGACGCAGCAACGCCGCGUGAGUGAUGAAGGUUUUCGGAUCGUAAAGCUCUGUCAAAUGGGAAGAAUCUGUCUGAUACCAAUACUAUUAGGCACUGACGGUACCAUUAAAGGAAGCACCGGCUAACUCCGUGCAGCAGCCGCGGUAAUACGGGGGGUGUAAGCGUUAUUCGGAAUUAUUGGGCGUAAAGAGCGCGUAGGCGGUCUAACAAGUCAGAUGUGAAAGCCCUGGGCUCAACCCAGGAAGUGCAUUUGAAACUGUUAGACUUGAGUAUGGGAGAGGGAAGUGGAAUUCCUGGUGUAGAGGUGAAAUUUGUAGAUAUCAGGAGGAACACCGGUGGCGAAGGCGACUUCCUGGACCAAUACUGACGCUGAGGCGCGAAGGCGUGGGGAGCAAACAGGAUUAGAUACCCUGGUAGUCCACGCAGUAAACGAUGUCGACUAGCCGUUGGAUGUAUUGACCCCUGCUGCGCCGCAGCUAACGCAUUAAGUGUUCCGCCUGGGGAGUACGGUCGCAAGAUUAAAACUCAAAGGAAUUGACGGGGGCCCGCACAAGCGGUGGAGCAUGUGGUUUAAUUCGACGCAACGCGAAGAACCUUACCUGGAUUUGACAUCCCGGGAAUUCUAUGAAAGUAGAUAGUGCCCUUCGGGGAACCCGGUGACAGGUGCUGCAUGGCUGUCGUCAGCUCGUGUCGUGAGAUGUUGGGUUAAGUCCCGCAACGAGCGCAACCCCUAUCUUUAGUUGCCAGCAACUCGGUUGGGAACUCUAGAGAUACAGCCCCGGUUAACGGGGAGGAAGGUGGGGAUGACGUCAAGUCCUCAUGGCCUUUAUGUCCAGGGCUACACACGUGCUACAAUGGACUGUACAAAGAGUCGCGACCCCGCGAGGGUGAGCUAACCUCAAAAAGCAGUUCUCAGUUCGGAUUGGAGUCUGCAACUCGACUCCAUGAAGUUGGAAUCGCUAGUAAUCGUGGAUCAGCAUGCCACGGUGAAUACGUUCCCGGGCCUUGUACACACCGCCCGUCACACCAUGAGAGUUGGUUGUACCCGAAGUUGUUGGACUAACCCGCAAGGGGAGUAGGCACCUAAGGUAUGGCUGAUGAUUGGGGUGAAGUCGUAACAAGGUA